GCCCAUGUAGCUCAGUAGGUAGAGCACAUCCUUGGUAAGGAUGAGGUCACCGGUUCGAUCCCGGUCGUGGGCU
Molecule: transfer RNA, 73 nt
Filed under: Candidatus Zhuqueibacterota bacterium
Lineage: Bacteria; Pseudomonadati
Description: candidate division KSB1 bacterium (freshwater sediment metagenome) tRNA-Thr
Rfam family: tRNA
About the family: Transfer RNA (tRNA) molecules are approximately 80 nucleotides in length. Their secondary structure includes four short double-helical elements and three loops (D, anti-codon, and T loops).
Source: RNAcentral